Desulfosporosinus orientis DSM 765 is the source of this 85-nucleotide regulatory RNA element. It matches the Rfam family "c-di-GMP-I-GGC riboswitch aptamer". Lineage: Bacteria; Bacillati; Bacillota; Clostridia; Eubacteriales; Desulfitobacteriaceae. The record is from Rfam.
UGCGAUAAAGGCAAACUUAGUGAAAACUAAGGACGCAAAGCUAUGGGUCUUCCGGGUAAAGCUGAUGACUGCCAAGCCACCGAAA